This is a non-coding RNA of Cinara cedri, 1447 nucleotides long. The record is from the annotation of a GenBank genome assembly. Lineage: Eukaryota; Metazoa; Arthropoda; Insecta; Hemiptera; Aphididae.
GGCCCGCGAUACGGAAAACUCGGUUUUCACGCCGUUUACUCCGCGUUCCGACGGGCCGCGUCCAGUCUCCUUCGGCUCGCGUCCCGUUUUACUGUCAUCUGUCUGCGCCGGUUGACCGUCUCGGGCGGCCGUUCACGGCGACGCGACCGCGUAACGAAACCCGGCGGGCUCGCCAUUUACACUAGGCGAUCGCCUUAAACCGGUCAUUCGCUCGCCGUUUCACGCGUAUUCGCGUGCGGUUUUCCACCGUCGUUCCACGUUUUCACAGACACUAGCCCCCCCUCCCCCUUAGUGCCCGAUGCUCCCCCUCGGAACCGAAAUUUCCCCUCGGAGGGUGGUGGGGGGUACCGUCUGUGACCGCCGGCGCGCAUUAUAAAUCACAAUGUUCGUGAUUUUCACACCGCGUCCCGAUAAUAUAACGCGACGUCCGUCGUCGUUCUCGACACCCGAGAUGUACGUGUGCGUUUUUUUUUUUUUUUGGUUUUUUUUUUUUUUUCGUUGCGUGAAAACUUUUUCUAGACCAUUUUCUGAAAGGAAAUUUCCUUUCAAAACUAUUAGAGAAAAUAUACGAAGCCUGUUAAACUGUUUUACUAUAUUUUCACCAUCGACUGUACUCGGCUCAGAACCGUUUUUAGUAAUCAAUGAUUUAUCAUUGCUUGCGGAUACUAAUUGAUUUUCCUUCUGUCUUCUUCCUUCCCAAAUUUCCACCACACAACAGUGGCUGCACCCGUCUCCAUUAUCAUUAACUAGGACACCUUAUGGUUUUUGUAAUGACUUAUUAUGGUUUUCUUAGUCAGCCUACAGUUAAUAUCGGUGAGAUAUGUUUUUUUUUUAAUUAAAAAAAAGAACUUCAGAGUUAACAAAAAUAUAUUUUUCACAGGUCAUUCAUAAGUAUUUGCUACGAUCGGAAAUAAUGUUAAAAAACAAAAAAAAAUGUAAUCAAGUAUUUUCAUCAAAUAAUAUCUCUAGUGGUAGUAUAUUUCCGUAUUGUUUUCUUCGUGCGAGUACAGCAUUUUCGUUUGAUACAAUUACUUUUUUUUACAACUCCAUAAAAUUACAAUUAUAUUUUGGCGACCUGAUUUUCUAUUUAAAUUGCGUCGGCAGGAUUCGGACGAAUUUCGGUAAAAAUAACGGAAAAUCGUACACAACCCGUUUUUGACGUUUUCGCGCAGUAAAAUAUUAUUAUUAUUAAUGCACAGAAACGUUGUCGAUUCGGGUUUUUAGCGAACAGAGAAAAAUGAACGCGCGUUGUCGUUAUUAUUACAACGGACAAGCGACCGUCCCGCGCAUGACGCGCCGCGAGUUAAGGGUUCCGACGAUUUCCGUCGCCGCGUAACGGGUCGUCGCAUCCCGCCGCGUUUUACCCGGUACCGCGCGAUGCGUACGAAUCGACGGCAGACGGCGGUGAAAACGGACCCAAAGCACCGCCGGUCGUGCGACACCGUUG